Long non-coding RNA from Lycium barbarum (goji berry), 953 nucleotides. RefSeq lists it as uncharacterized. The transcript has 5 exons. The record is from RefSeq and is a predicted model, not a curated record. NCBI's taxonomy places the organism in Eukaryota, Viridiplantae, Streptophyta, Magnoliopsida, Solanales, Solanaceae.
AUGUCUCCUCUAGCUCUAAGCAGUCGUCUUCUUCAUAUUCCCCAAAUUUCCUUUUCAGGCUUUUAUAGAGCAAAGUUUUCAAGCCUCUAGGUCGUCUCUUUCACAGUCUUUCAUUCUUUCCUCAAGAUAGAAAGAAAAAGUCAUUCAAGGCCGAAAACAAACCCUCCAUCUAUAUCACUGCUUCUCUCUGCCAUCCGAACUCAACACAACCUUGUAUUCUUGGUUUAUCUAAAAGUACUAUAAUAUUGAAGGUCUGGGCCUGUGUCGCGGAGGAGCACUGAUCAAGUGAGUUGGAAAGCGAAGUCUGAAGCUUGUCUUGGGUGCUCGAUGGUACUUUCACCUCAAUUUGUGACUGCAUGUUUAAGAUUCAGGAUAACUUUACCAUUGUUUAGUGCUCUGAUGGGAGAAACUGCUUUUGGAUUCACUGAGUAGGCGACAUCAAAUUACAUAGAGCUCUCUCACUGUUUGAGAAGUAUAAAAAUCAGGCUGAUGGUUGAAUUGUGAAAAAAGAUCAGCUUACUGUCAAAAUCCAAAUCAAGUGAGGCACAAGAGCUUUUGCGUCAUCUACACAAAGCUAAAAGUGUUUAACAUGACUAAGUGCAAGAAAGGUGUGCUAAGAAGAAGCAGACUAAACAUAGCAUGGAGAACUCAUCACCUUUUGCCAAUAUGUAAAUAGUACCUCCGAUGUUUUACCAUUUAAUUGUCUGAAGCUGGCAUGGACAUAAGGAAUGUGUCAUUUGCCAACCGCACAACAUCUGUGAAUGGAUGUAUAAGAAUAAUAUUUAGUAAUUAGCAUGCGGUGCUGUUUCUGUCUUUGAGAACUAAUUUACAUGUAUCGAUUCUUAUUAUUUGCAAUUUCAUAUCAAUUUGAAGUUGGUAGAAAAAUUCACGAGCACGGGCCAUCUUUGCCUUGUAGUCAUAUAGAAGAGUGCUAAAGCUGCUGGCUGUUGUCA